AUUGAACGCUGGCGGCAGGCCUAACACAUGCAAGUCGAGCGAGCGGCGGACGGGUGAGUAAUGUCUGGGAAACAGCCUGAUGGAGGGGGCAAACUACUGUAAACGGUAGCUAAUACCGCAUAUCAUCAAAUGUUACCAGAUGGGAUUCGCUAGUAGGUGGGGUAAGGGCUCACCAAGGCGACGAUCCCUAGCUGGUCUGAGAGGAUGACCAUCCACACUGUAACGGAGACAAGGUCCAGACUCCUACGGGAGGCAGCAGUGGUGAAUAUUGCACAAUGGUCGCAAGCCUGAUGCAGCAAUGCCGCUUGUGUGAAGAAGGCCUUCGGGUUGUAAAGCACUUUCAGCGGGGAGGCGUUACCCGCAGAAGAAGCACCGGCUAACUCCGUGCCAGCAGCCGCGGUAAUUC
RNAcentral lists this ribosomal RNA (406 nucleotides) under uncultured bacterium. Its description in RNAcentral is "partial 16S ribosomal RNA". It matches the Rfam family "Bacterial small subunit ribosomal RNA", at positions 30 to 526 of the family's 1533-position model. The record is from RNAcentral.